This is a long non-coding RNA of Arvicanthis niloticus (Nile rat), 532 nucleotides long. RefSeq lists it as uncharacterized. The record is from RefSeq and is a predicted model, not a curated record. NCBI's taxonomy places the organism in Eukaryota, Metazoa, Chordata, Mammalia, Rodentia, Muridae.
UCGGCAGCCAGCGUGCCCAGUUCUCUUGGGACCCGCGCUCUGUGUUCAGACUGGGCUGCUGGUGAUCACGUCGCUCCAUUGCCUUCUGCUUCUACCCACCGCGCCCAGCGCUGUUUUGCAUUUCAGAACUUUCGCCUGGUAGCCACCGUCGCCCACUUUAGAGGCUCCUGGAGAGGCCUAGGAGCUCGACAGUGCGCGUAGGAGUGGGGCCUGGAACCGUGGCGUCGGUGCACAGUGUACACAGGACGUUGAGGAGAACAGCAAUCCAGCAGAUCCGGGAACCCAGGGAAGGAACUCGGGAAUGGAGUUAAUUCUCCUUAAAGGGUAAUCUCAGCCCAGUGUGUGGCGUCCCGUACUUGGAGUCUCAGCACUCCUGAGGCAGAGGUAGGAAAACAGCUGCAAGUUCAAAGCCAACCUGAGCCAAACAGUCUGAGUGUUCUUUACCCCGGAGUCUGCUGGAUAUGUUCGAGUCAGGAUGGUCAGCUUCCUCCCUGGCAAGGCAGACUUACAGCUAGGAGGAGUUGGAAGGCUU